AAGAUGGCGACCGGCGCACGGGUGAGUAACACGUAUCCAACCUGCCGAUAACUCUGGAAUAGCCUUUCGAAAGAAAGAUUAAUACCCGAUAGUAUAAUGAUUCCGCAUGGUUUCAUUAUUAAAGGAUUCCGGUAAAGGAUGGGGAUGCGUUCCAUUAGGUUGUUGGUGAGGUAACGGCUCACCAAGCCUUCGAUGGAUAGGGGUUCUGAGAGGAAGGUCCCCCACAUUGGAACUGAGACACGGUCCAA
RNAcentral lists this ribosomal RNA (248 nucleotides) under uncultured bacterium. Its description in RNAcentral is "partial 16S ribosomal RNA". It matches the Rfam family "Bacterial small subunit ribosomal RNA", at positions 85 to 334 of the family's 1533-position model. The record is from RNAcentral.